Rhinolophus ferrumequinum (greater horseshoe bat) is the source of this 1354-nucleotide RNA transcript. It is a transcript of the gene named tubulin alpha-3 chain-like, with no coding region annotated. NCBI's taxonomy places the organism in Eukaryota, Metazoa, Chordata, Mammalia, Chiroptera, Rhinolophidae. The transcript is spliced from 5 exons. The record is from RefSeq and is a predicted model, not a curated record.
CGCAUUUCUGUCCACAUGGGGCAGGCCGGAGUCCAGAUCAGCAAUGCCUGCUGGGAACUGUACUGUCUGGAACAUGGAAUUCAGCAUAAGGGGCAAAUGCUAAGUGACAAAACCAUCGGUGGUGGGGAUGACUCGUUCAACACAUUCUUCAGCGAGACUGGGGCUGGCAAGCAUGUGCCCAGAGCAGUGUUUGUGGACCUGGAGCCCACGGUGGUCGAUGAAGUGCGCACAGGAACCUACAGGCAGCUCUUCCACCCGGAGCAGCUGAUCACGGGGAAGGAAGACGCAGCCAAUAAUUAUUCCACAGCCAUUUGUAUAGAGCAUAUAAAAUAUACUAUAAACAAAGAGAUCGUCGACCUGGUCCUGGACCGCAUCCGCAAACUGGCGGAUCUGUGCACGGGGCUGCAGGGCUUCCUCAUCUUCCACAGCUUCGGGGGCGGCACCGGCUCUGGGUUUGCAUCUCUGCUCAUGGAGCGGCUCUCGGUGGACUACGGCAAGAAGUCCAAGCUCGAAUUUGCCAUCUAUCCAGACCCCCAGGUAUCCACGGCCGUGGUGGAGCCCUACAACUCCAUCCUGACCACCCACACGACCCUGGAACAUUCCGACUGUGCCUUCAUGGUGGACAACGAAGCCAUCUACGACAUAUGUCGGCGCAACCUGGACAUCGAGCGUCCCACGUACACCAACCUCAAUCGUCUGAUUGGGCAGAUCGUGUCCUCCAUCACGGCCUCCCUGCGCUUCGAUGGGGCCCUGAACGUGGACCUGACGGAGUUCCAGACCAACCUGGUCCCAUACCCCCGCAUCCACUUCCCCCUGGCCACCUACGCGCCCGUCAUCUCAGCCGAGAAGGCCUACCACGAGCAGCUGUCCGUGGCCGAGAUCACCAAUGCCUGCUUCGAGCCGGCCAAUCAGAUGGUCAAGUGUGACCCUCGCCACGGCAAGUACAUGGCCUGCUGCAUGUUGUACAGGGGAGAUGUGGUCCCGAAAGACGUCAACGCGGCAAUUGCCACCAUCAAGACCAAGCGCACCAUCCAGUUUGUGGACUGGUGCCCGACGGGAUUUAAGGUGGGCAUCAACUACCAGCCCCCCACUGUCGUCCCUGGGGGAGACCUGGCCAAGGUACAGCGGGCGGUGUGCAUGCUGAGCAACACCACUGCCAUCGCCGAGGCCCGGGCCCAUCUGGACCGUAAGUUCCAUCUCAUGUACGCAAAGCGAGCCUUUGUGCACUGGUACGUGGGGGAGGGCAUGGAGGAAGGGGAGUUCUCUGAGGCCCGGGAAGACAUGGCAGCUUGAGAAAGAUUACAAAGCGGGCGUGGAUUCCACGGAAGCAGAGGCUGAAGGGGAAGAAUACUGA